Haliotis rufescens (red abalone) is the source of this 586-nucleotide long non-coding RNA. RefSeq lists it as uncharacterized. NCBI's taxonomy places the organism in Eukaryota, Metazoa, Mollusca, Gastropoda, Lepetellida, Haliotidae. The transcript has 3 exons. The record is from RefSeq and is a predicted model, not a curated record.
UUGACACGUCAUUCGAUGGAAUUUCCCAGUCUUUUUGGCGCGAAAAUCGUGAAUGUCACCUGUUUUCGCGACAGGUAUUUUUCUCGCUUGAAUCGUAAAUCUAGCGUAAUGGCGGCCAACUACGAUUUGGAUAGCGAUCAGAUGACUAACAACUACUCUAUCGGGAAUAAUAAUGUGUUUGAUUUGAAUAAUUUACGUGAAGGGGAGAGGGAAUUUCGUGAAGAUUUUGACGGUUUCGACGAGGUGUCCCCCCCCCCCCGCGCCAACUUUCAAGAAUGGGAGUGGCAGAGGGACCACAACGGUGGAGACAUGAGGGAUUUUGAAGAGGCGACCGGACUCAAGAAUAUAUAUUGACACGGUGAGUGAAAUAUCGUGCUAUUGAUUUUUUCCAACUGUUUUACAAUGAUUCUGUGUUUGAACAGAUUAUCAGUGCGACGAAUGAGAAUGCAGCCUACAGGUGAACGAGCGAUCACAACAACAACAAAGAUCAAUCUGUGAUAUCUUCUCUGUGAUGUCAUUCUUAUAGGAGCUGUGGUUCAAUGUUCAGAUGUGCAUGAAGAGAAUUUACCUGUAACACCUGGGAUUA